CCUUUAGAGUUUGGAUCCUGGCUCAGAUUGAACGCUGGCGGCAGGCCUAACACAUGCAAGUCGAGCGGUAACAUUUCUAGCUUGCUAGAAGAUGACGAGCGGCGGACGGGUGAGUAAUGCUUGGGAACAUGCCUUGAGGUGGGGGACAACCAUUGGAAACGAUGGCUAAUACCGCAUAAUGUCUACGGACCAAAGGGGGCUUCGGCUCUCGCCUUUAGAUUGGCCCAAGUGGGAUUAGCUAGUUGGUGAGGUAAAGGCUCACCAAGGCGACGAUCCCUAGCUGGUUUGAGAGGAUGAUCAGCCACACUGGAACUGAGACACGGUCCAGACUCCUACGGGAGGCAGCAGUGGGGAAUAUUGCACAAUGGGCGCAAGCCUGAUGCAGCCAUGCCGCGUGUGUGAAGAAGGCCUUCGGGUUGUAAAGCACUUUCAGUCAGGAGGAAAGGUUAGUAGUUAAUACCCUGCUAAGCUGUGACGUAC
Molecule: ribosomal RNA, 480 nt
Filed under: Pseudoalteromonas sp. D33
Lineage: Bacteria; Pseudomonadati; Pseudomonadota; Gammaproteobacteria; Alteromonadales; Pseudoalteromonadaceae
Description: bacterial SSU rRNA
Rfam family: Bacterial small subunit ribosomal RNA
Source: RNAcentral